RNAcentral lists this ribosomal RNA (433 nucleotides) under uncultured bacterium. RNAcentral describes it as "partial 16S ribosomal RNA". It matches the Rfam family "Bacterial small subunit ribosomal RNA", at positions 29 to 507 of the family's 1533-position model. The record is from RNAcentral.
AACGAACGCUGGCGGCAUGCCUAACACAUGCAAGUCGAACGAGACCUUCGGGUCUAGUGGCGCACGGGUGCGUAACGCGUGGGAACCUGCCCUUAGGUUCGGAAUAACUCCCCGAAAGGGGUGCUAAUACCGGAUAAUGUCUUCGGACCAAAGAUUUAUCGCCUUUGGAGGGGCCCGCGUUGGAUUAGCUAGUUGGUAGGGUAAAAGCCUAUCAAGGCGACGAUCCAUAGCUGGUCUGAGAGGAUGAUCAGCCACACUGGGACUGAGACACGGCCCAGACUCCUACGGGAGGCAGCAGUGGGGAAUAUUGGACAAUGGGCGAAAGCCUGAUCCAGCAAGGCCGCGUGAGUGAUGAAGGCCUUAGAGUUGUAAAGCUCUUUUACCCGGGAUGAUAAUGACAGUACCGGGAGAAUAAGCUCCGGCUAACUCCGUG